This is a long non-coding RNA of Cucumis sativus (cucumber), 1272 nucleotides long. RefSeq lists it as uncharacterized. The record is from RefSeq and is a predicted model, not a curated record. Lineage: Eukaryota; Viridiplantae; Streptophyta; Magnoliopsida; Cucurbitales; Cucurbitaceae. The transcript is spliced from 2 exons.
UCCCCGCCUCGAUUUUCUGUCACAACCCAAUAUGUUUCCAUUCGCCAGCCUCUCUAUGAUCCCUGUACUAAUUCCAUUGCCAUUUUCUUCCUUGUCGUUACCCAUUCUAUCUUACUCCGAUGACCUUCGAAAUUCCUUUAUUCAUCUUCUUCAUUGCCUAGCUUCCUCAUCCCUUCCCUACUUUGAUAUAACUCGCAUGCCACAAAAGAAAGGCAAGGAAAGUAACGUACCUCAACAAAAUCUUGGCCUAUAUAUAUGAUCAGCCUCUCAAUGUUGCCACUCCAAUGAGCCGUUUCUUCUAUUUUCACAGAUCGUAUCCAGGUCGACUUGUUCCACAUAGGGUCCUUACACAUUUCUUCAUGGUGAUCCUCAAGAAGGGGUGUAUAUGGAGCAACCACUAGGGUUUGUUGCUCAGGGGAAGAAUGGAAAGGCGUGUCGCCUUUGUAAAUCUUUGGAUGGACUAAAACAUAGUCCACAGGCUUGGUUUGGAAAAUUUAUUAAGGUGAUCGAAAGUUUUGGAAUGCAAAAGAGCACGUUAGAUCAUUCAAUCUUUUUUAAAAGAUCCGAGAGUGGGGUGAUCCUAAUCGUAGUAUAUGUUGAUGCAAUUGUGGUUGUUGGUGAUGAUGCUUUAGAUGUCCAGUCCCUGAAGACUUUUCUCUAUUGCCAAUUCCAAAUAAAAGAUUUGAGCAUGUUGAAAUACCUCCUAGGAAUUUGAGGUAAAAAACAGGCAAGAAAGCAAUACUAUUAUCACAGAGAAAAUAUGGACUUGUUGACUGAAACAUGGAAGGUAGGUGCCAAGCCAUGUAGUACCCCAACGAUGCCUAACUUAUAGCUCACAAAAGAUGGAGAAUUGUUGAAAGAUCUUCAAAGAUAUAGGAGGUUAGAGGGAAAACUUAAUUACCUUCCAGCGAAUCGACUCGACAUAGCCUAUUUAGUGAGUAUUAUGAGCCAGUGUAUGUCAUGCCCUAAAGUUGAUCAUUCAGCUGCUUUGGAAUGAUUCAGUGUUAUCUGAAGGCUGCUCUCGGGCAUGAUUUUAUUAUAUAAGGAUUAUAGUCAUACUAAUAUUGAAUGUUUCUCAGAUGUUAAUUGGUAAAAUCUAAAGAAGACAAAAGAUCAACUUCAGGAUAUUUUGUUUUUGUUGGUGGCAAUUUGAUGUCUUGGAAAAGUAAGAAACAAAAUGUGGUGUCACAUUCAAGUGCAUAAUAAAAAAUAUAGAGCAAUUGCACAGUUUUUGUGUGAAUUGGAUAUAUCAAAUUGAUUUGGAUAUAUCAA